GGGAGCAUAAACGACAGAUUAAAGCACUUCAUGAUCAGCUUCAUGACGCACGUGGUCAAGGAAGUGUCGACACGAAAGCGGCAUCUGGGAAAGAUGGCCAUCCUCAAGAUGACGAGGACGCUUUAAAGAUUACGAAGUGGUGGCAAGCGUCAUCCCUUUUGAAGUGGGACUGGGAGAAACCCCCGGAGUACAUGUGCAGUGAGAUUGAGACGAGGGGCAACUGGCACGUAUGUAACGACACAACCUUUGAGGUCAAGCCACCAUGUCUAGUCUACUCCUUUGGGAUUUCAAAUGACUGG
Molecule: long non-coding RNA, 299 nt
Organism: Haliotis rufescens (red abalone)
Lineage: Eukaryota; Metazoa; Mollusca; Gastropoda; Lepetellida; Haliotidae
Exons: 4
Source: RefSeq, a predicted model, not a curated record